GGGAAUAUUGCACAAUGGGCGCAAGCCUGAUGCAGCGACGCCGCGUGAGGGAUGGAGGCCUUCGGGUUGUAAACCUCUUUCAGCAGGGAAGAAGCGCAAGUGACGGUACCUGCAGAAGAAGCGCCGGCGAACUACGUGCCAGCAGCCGCGGUAAUACGUAGGGCGCAAGCGUUGUCCGGAAUUAUUGGGCGUAAAGAGCUCGUAGGCGGUUUGUCGCGUCUGCUGUGAAAACUCAAGGCUCAACCUUGGGCUUGCAGUGGGUACGGGCAGACUAGAGUGCGGUAGGGGUGACUGGAAUUCCUGGUGUAGCGGUGGAAUGCGCAGAUAUCAGGAGGAACACCGAUGGCGAAGGCAGGUCACUGGGCCGCAACUGACGCUGAGGAGCGAAAGCAUGGGGAGCGAACAGG
This 407-nucleotide ribosomal RNA is filed under the name uncultured bacterium. RNAcentral's name for it is "bacterial SSU rRNA". It matches the Rfam family "Bacterial small subunit ribosomal RNA", at positions 357 to 776 of the family's 1533-position model. The record is from RNAcentral.